Molecule: long non-coding RNA, 2038 nt
Filed under: Sus scrofa (pig)
Lineage: Eukaryota; Metazoa; Chordata; Mammalia; Artiodactyla; Suidae
Description: lncRNA (ENSSSCG00000045832.2)
Source: RNAcentral
GGAUCUGGUGUUGCUGUGGCUGUGGUGUCGGCCACAGCUGUAGCUCCAUUUGACCUCUAGCCUGGGAACCUCUAUAUGCUGCAAGUUCAGCCUUAAAAAAAAACAAACAACCCCCCCCCAAAAAAAAAGUGGGGAUGAGCCAGUAGCUGAAUUGCUGGGCCUGCCCUCCCGUGGGCAGGAGUUUGGCCCUUGCUCUGUAACGUGGGUCCCUGUGUUUCUACGCAGGCCUGGCCUAGCGUUAGGAGCUCCAGCCUGGAGCCAGACAACCUGGGUUUGCAUCUGGAUCUGCCUCUCAUUGGCUGUGUGCCCUUGGGGAAGACGCUUAACCUCUCUGUGCUGUCGUUUCCUCUGCUAUAGAAGGAGAAGUAAUAAUAGCACCUGUCUUGUGCUAGGGAGCUAGUGCCGUGUCACAAACCUCCCCUCUGUACUUCCUAAGGGUGUCGGCCUAAGUGGUUGAUGUGUGUAAAUUGUGCCCAGCACACGGAGAUGCCCUACUAACCAUUAGCUCUCCCCGAGCUGGUCCCCGAGAAAUCCUUCACAUCUAAAAUGAUCCAGGGGGUCUCUGCUGUGGCUUAGUGGGUUACGACUCCGACUGCAGCAGCUAAGCUCGCUGCAGAGGCGUGGGUUCCGUUCCUGGCCUGGCGCAGUGGAUUAAAGGAUCCAGUGUUGGUUUCGAUUCAACCCCUGGCCGGGAAACUCCCAUAUGCCGUGGGUACAGCCCUUAAAAAUAAAUACGUACAAAUAAAGUGACACGGGGUGCUGGCGGAGAGUGUGUGGAGGGGAUCAGAGGGUCUGGGGUCGUAGCCGCUUCCUCCCUGCCCAGCCUCUGGUGUUCAGUGACCCUUGACCUUUGAAGCCCGUUCCCUCCCUUUCUGCCUGCAUCCUGGCCUCCAGACCCCAUCGCGUGCUGGGCUGCCUCUCACCUGCCCUGUCACCUGUGUGGCUGUGUUCAGGGGUCCUGGGACCACAGGGCGGGGGGUACCCUGGAGGAGCAGGAAGAAUCCAGGGGCAGACCUUCCUGGGGCCUCUGCCUCCCCGGUUCCACGAGGACGGGCUGGACCGGCUCUUCCCGGGACCGUCGCGCCAGGGUCACGGGCUCAGCGACUCAGAUCUGGGGGCAGGUGAGCUGCCCUUCCGAGCCCGUGGGAAGACCUGGUCUAUGGCCUCAUGUCAGAGGACCUCCGGCCAGGGAAUGUCUCUUUCGUCCUCUGCUCCCAUCCCCUCCCUGCCACGCUGUCGUCGAGAACAGAGACGGCACUUGCCUGUCUGCUGACAGCUCUGGAAGGACAGUGGGGUAGCGCUCGGCUUGGGGUGCUGGGGACACGACACGUCAUCUGUGCUGCGGCAAACAGUGUCUCCCAAGAUUCAUGCCCACCUGGGACCUUGGAAUGUGACCUUAGUUGGAAAUAAGCCGUUGGCCAAGGAUGCUGAGAUGCAGCGUCCUUGUGUGGGUGGGUCCUCGCUCUGGUGCCUGGUGACCUGAUGCCUGGGGAAGAUGCCACGCAAAGGCGGAGGCAGAGGCUGGAGGGAGGUGGCCAUGAGUCAAAGAUGCCUGGAGCCCUGGGAGGUGGAGGAGCCAAGGAAGGGACCUCCCCAGAGCCCCGGGGGCAGUGAGCCCCGCCAUCACCUGAUUUCAGACUUGCAGUCGGUGGCUAGGACUGUAGGAGAAUCUAUUCACUUGUUUUAAGCCCCACCCCUGCCUCCGGAUUGUAGUCAUUUGUUAUUACAGCCCCAGGACAGUAACACACCAUCAGCCCUGCCCUCGUAUGUAUUUUAAAAUAUAAUAAGAAUACCACUUAUGGGAGUUCCCGUUGUGGCUUAGUGGUUAUCGAAUCCAACUAGGAACCAUGAGGUUGCGGGUUCGAUCCCUGGCCUCGCUCAGUAGGUUAAGGAUCCGGCGUUGCCCUGAGCUGUGGUGUAGGUUGCAGACGCGCUUGGAUCCCGCGUUGCUGUGGCUCUGGCGUAGGCGGGUGGCUACAUCUCUGAUUGGACCCCUAGCCUGGGAACCUCCAUAUGCCGCGGGAGCAGCCCUAGAAAU